This 484-nucleotide ribosomal RNA is filed under the name uncultured bacterium. RNAcentral describes it as "partial 16S ribosomal RNA". It matches the Rfam family "Bacterial small subunit ribosomal RNA", at positions 30 to 507 of the family's 1533-position model. The record is from RNAcentral.
AUUGAACGCUGGCGGCAGGCCUAACACAUGCAAGUCGAGCGGAUGAAGGGAGCUUGCUCCUGGAUUCAGCGGCGGACGGGUGAGUAAUGCCUAGGAAUCUGCCUGGUAGUGGGGGAUAACGUCCGGAAACGGGCGCUAAUACCGCAUACGUCCUGAGGGAGAAAGUGGGGGGUCUUCGGACCUCACGCUAUCAGAUGAGCCUAGGUCGGAUUAGCUAGUUGGUGGGGUAAAGGCCUACCAAGGCGACGAUCCGUAACUGGUCUGAGAGGAUGAUCAGUCACACUGGAACUGAGACACGGUCCAGACUCCUACGGGAGGCAGCAGUGGGGAAUAUUGGACAAUGGGCGAAAGCCUGAUCCAGCCAUGCCGCGUGUGUGAAGAAGGUCUUCGGAUUGUAAAGCACUUUAAGGUGGGAGGAAGGGCAGUAAGUUAAUACCUUGCUGUUUUGACGUUACCAACAGAAUAAGCACCGGCUAACUUCGUG